RNAcentral lists this long non-coding RNA (6095 nucleotides) under Brassica napus (rape). RNAcentral's name for it is "long non-coding RNA (BNAP_LNC025694)". Lineage: Eukaryota; Viridiplantae; Streptophyta; Magnoliopsida; Brassicales; Brassicaceae. The record is from RNAcentral.
CGUAGAUUGAUUCGAAUCAGGCAGAUCUUUUUUCGGUCUAGUCUGAGUGACAAACCCUGGUUGUUGAGGCACUGGUAAAAUCACAUUGUUACUUAUGAGCAUCAUCAAAAUGGUUGAAAAGGUGGGACGCUCUAUAGGAUCUUCUUGAACACAUAAAAGACCGAUAUGGAUGCAUCGAACCACUUCCCUCAUUUGGCAAUUAUCUACUAUAACUGGAUCCACAAGAUCUAACUCUGAUUUAUUAGUCCACAGUCUCCAAGCCUAUAAUAUCAGUCAACCAAUUAAUUGUUGCAAUCGUUGCUUAUAGUAAGAGAGGUGUAUAUAAAAGUAUGUUAAACUAAAAUAGUAUAUAGAAAAACUGGUUGCCUCAACUUACAUAUGUGACCAAGUUAUGUGCACCGUCUCUCUCGUAGAAGCUGCUAUUCUUCCUACCAGUUAUAAUCUCAAGAACUAACACUCCAAAGCUAUAGACAUCGGAUUUCAUUGAGAAUUGGCCAUGUAUAACAUAUUCGGGAGACAUGUAACCGCUGAAAUCCUCACCAAAAUUUAGUAUAUUGACAAAAUCAUGUUCUACAAACAUCAACUUAAAUAAGAGAAGUAAAAUGUAUGAUGACUUACUAGGUACCGACAAUUCUGUUUGUGUUCUCCUGAGUUUGGUCCAUUCCAAAGAUCCUUGCCAUUCCAAAACCAGCGAUUUUUGGAUUCAUAUCUGCGUCCAGGAGGAUGUUGCUUGCUUUGAGGUCACGGUGAAUGAUUGUGAGCCGUGAAUCUUGAUGAAGAUAUAGCAUCCCUCGAGCAAUCCCUUCAAUGAUCUUGUAUCGCCGUGUCCAGGAUAGCUGACCCUUCUUUGUAGGGUCUAUGUUUGUACAUUCAUAGUAAAUUUAAACAUUGGUACCCCCAAUUUUUUUAAAAAGUCCAAAGAUUCACCGAAAGAAAGCAAUAAAUGCUACUGACCAAAGAGGAAGUAAUCAAGGCUUUUGUUGGGCACAUAUUCGUAGACCAAUAUCCUUUCUUCUCGUUCUAGAGAAAACCCCAUAAGCCUUACCAAAUUUCUGUGCUGAAGCUUUGCAACAACAACAACCUCGUUUUUGAACUCUGUUUCUCCUUGGCCUGAUGAUUUUGACAGUCUCUUCACCGCAACUUCAGUCCCAUUCAAAAAUGUACCCUAUCCAUUUAUAUGAGCAUCAUUCAAAUUAUUUAAAUAGGUUGGCACAAAAUUUCAGAGAAAAAUAUACAGCGUCAGGUUCGUGCAGUUAAUGAUGUAUACUAGUGAUGGUAUCCAGAGCGGUGCCUUAUAACAUCUCUAAAAAUACAUUCUAUCUUGAAGUUUUUAAACUCUAUAUUUGAAGUCUAAAGGUGAUUUUUCCAAAAACAAAACUUCAAACUUAAUUUCAAAACUAUUUGUAUUUUAUAUUAUGGUCCUUAUAUUUUUCAUAACUAAUUUAAAUUCAUAAAACUUUUAUUAGCACAUAUAUAAAUUAUUACAACAAUAUUAAUUAGUAAAAUAUUGUAUUAAAAUAUAAAAAUUUCAACAGAAAUAACAUAAUUAAUAUUAAAUUUCAAGAAAAACAUCAUAAGAUUCCAUAAAAUUAUUUUCGUUAUGCAUAUAUGAUCAUCUAGUGCAUUUCGAAGUUAAAAUGACUCUUUUUAUUUUUAAUUUGUAGAUUAUGAGCUAAAAAAUGUUAAAAUCGGGUGAUAUUAAUACUUGUAAUUACAUUAGAUCUGGAAAAAAAAAAGUAAAAGAGGAAAAGAAAAUAUUGUUAAAAGACUUAACUUCUAUCGGUGAUAUUAAUAUUUGUGAAUACAUUCGAUCUAAAGAAGAAAGAAUUGUGCGAAAAGAAAUUAAAAACAACAACUAUCUUCGGUUACAUAAAAAAAUUGGACAGUAUUUUGCAGAUUGUGGAGGUUCUUGAUCAAAUUUAUGUGACUAUUAGUGUUGUUGAUAUUUAAAUUUGUGUAAUAGUUAUGUCUUCAUGUAAUUUUUAAAAGUUUUUUUGUUUAGUUUUUUUAUAUUGUUGUUGUCUUGUUUAAAUCUUAAUUUAAAAUUUUACUUAAUUUUAUGUGUAAAAAUUAAAUUUAUAAACAAAAAUAAAAUAUUUAUGAUUUAUAAUUUUUUAAGGAUUAAAAUGAUAACGAGAAAAUAAUUAAGAAUCAUAAAUGUGAUAUGCAAUUAUAGGGGCCAAAAUACAAACAAAAAUAUGAAACUUCAAAUUUGAAGUUUUGAGUUGUGAAACUUCAAAUAUAAAGUUUGUCUUCUCAAACUUCAAAUUUGAAAUUUUUUUAAGAGCAAAAAAUUCCAUAUUUGAAGUUAUAGACUGUUUUUUUGAGAUGCUCUUAGACAUAGAAGAAGAGGCGUAUUUAACUCUAUAAUUUAAUAAAUUAGUUAUAUUAUAUGGAAAUAAUUUGUACAAAAAAUCAUUUAAAGAAUCUAUUUCAGUUACAAAUUCAUCUAUUAUCCUAAAUUUAUGUAUUUAACUGUUUUUUUUUGUUUUUUGUGAUUUUAUUCAAAUAUAUUCAUUUUUAAAUCACUUUAUAUAAUAACAUUUUCUACAUUUACUGUAUGAAUUAAUAAAUAUAGUUUUAUUUAUCAUAUUUAUAGAUAUAUUUAAUUAUUAUAUUUCAUAUUAUUUUAUUUUCAAGAUAUAAUAUAUUUUUAUCACUAUAGAAAUUAUAUUUUUGAUAAAUAUUCAUAUUUUGUCAAAUUGCUUUAAAAUCACAAUUUAUAUAACAAAACUUAAAUAAAAAUAAAAAUAAAAAUAAAAAUAAUCCAGUAUUAAUUUAGGCCCCUAAAAUCCUGGUUACAUCACCGAUUAUACCUUGUAAACCUCGCCAAAUCCUCCUUGCCCAAUCUUAUUAUUCUCUGAAUAAUCAUUUGUUGCAGUUUGAAUUGUUCUAUAGUCAAGUUGUAGCGAGUCUACUGUUGUUAUAUCAUCUCCUGAUGCACAAUAAAAAUAGUAGUAAUCAGUAAGGAAAAAAAUAGACUGAUCAAUGACGGUAAUCACUAAUCAAACUCAAUUAAGAUUUUUAAUCAUUCAAAUGUUAACCAUAAAAGGUUGGUGCAUUAUCAGAAGUCUUCUUUUUCCUCUUUGCAAGGAAACAAUAACCAGCUAUGGAAAGUAGCAAAGCCAUUAUAAUAGCCACAAGGAUGGCUAUGGCUAACACAUUUGAGUUCCCAUGUUUCCCUGCGUCUAGAAGACCAUUUGUUUAAUAUCAAAUCAAUUACAAGGAGAAAAUAAGUAAUUGCAUUAGAUUAUUUCAAGAAAUAAGGGCAAAAGAAACAAAGUAAGAAGAAAGACUUAACUAGGUCGUGGAGUGGUAGAAGAAGCUAGGGGUGGUGGAGGCAGGAUAGUUGUAUUAACUUCGGUUUCGUUGUAGAACUUGUAAAGCUCGUACCUUGAAUUACAGCUAGGAGAAAGAAGUCUUGAUCCAAUACUUUCAAAAUUCAAACCGUUUAUGGAUUGUAGCAGACAGAACAAACAGUCAUCUCUUGUCAGAUCAGGAGUGCACUGAACCAGGACGAACAAAUCCUUGAAGUCGAUCCACUUGGCCUUUCUCGUACAGAAAUAUCGAGAACUAUUCGCCGCUUCAAAGGCAGCUUCCAUCAUCGAGGUCGACGCCAGUUUUUUGAACAGGUCUACAUCCUUAGGUGCAGUUUUGUAAUCGUUAUACAUCAAAAAAGCGUCAGCGACUGUGAGGUUCGAGGAAACAUCCUGGUCAGAGUAUCUGAGCAUGCACUCGUCGUAAUAGAUAGUGGCCUCUCUCUGAUUCGGGCACUUGGCUUCGAUAUCUUUGACGGAAAGGGAGACGCAGCCGCGACAAACUUUCGGCGAGACGUCUCCCCGGCAGAGGAAAAGUCCGGUGACCGUAUCCGGGGCUUGUCCGGCAGUGGCGUUUUGGAAUCCGGUGGAGUAUGAGGCGUUGGCGGAAGAGAGAGAGGACCAAAGUGUUUUGAGAUUGGUGGAGUAAAUGCUGUUCGGUGAAUACCUUGUCGUAUUCCGACAAAGAUGGUGUACGAAGUAGGGACUUUCAGCAGUAGCUGGGAAGAUAGUAGUGAGGAAGGAGAAAAGGAAAAGGAAGAUGCAAGAGGCAAGAGAAGACAUGGUUCGGUUUCCCCGAUAUGAGGUUCAGGCUACGAAGGUCCCAUUUAUAAAGUGAACCCUCUCUUGGUCUGUGACGACCAAAAGUCAAUGAAAGUAAAAGAAAAGUAAACGCCUUUUUAAUAAGUUAAAAACUUAAAACAAUGAAAAUAAUAGUUUAGGAUACUGUUUCUGCUAAUGCUAAUGCUCUGCCAAUCAGGGCCAAAGUGGAAAAGGCCAUGCUGUAUUAUUAACAUAAUUUUGAAUAAAUUUUCAUGUUGGGCCAAUAAUCAAAAUUAUUUACUAAGCCGAAACCGAAAAGUUAACAUCAAGUGUCCUUGGCUAAUCUCACUAGAGCUUAGUUGAGUUGAUUCAAACACUUCAUCUAAUCAUGUCUGAUGAGAAGUGUUUAGAAAUCAGGUUUAGAGUGAUCAAGACUAAACAAGCAUUAAAAAUACUCAACAAGCAAGUUCAUACAAGGAUCUAAUACAAUAACACCAUAGAUCUUCACUAAGUUACUCUAAUCUCCCUAACCCAUGAAUUCUUAAGGAAACUACUCACUAAUCUCCAUGAAAACACUUAAUCUCAUAAUAGAUUGAAGCAUAUUCAAGUAGAUACAACAGAGAAUAAAGAUAAACAAGGAUUAAACAAGCAAAUUCAAGAGAAUAAGAAGAAAAGAAACUAAAGAUUCAAGCUUUCUCUCUCAAGAGUUCUUGUGUUCUUCAUAAAAAAGUAGAUAGAUCCCCAAUUAUUGUCUGAAAAGUAGUUAUAUAUUACUAAAACUCGAGCUGGGGUUGACCCAUAAAAACAGAUAUUUUUCUCCGUAGUGACCAUAAAAGGUCGCUACAAGAGGUCACUACGCCUGUAGCGACCUGAAAUGCCCGCUACGGGUGGCCGCUAGGACACUUAGACGAUUUUUUCGCAUUCUUGAACUCAUAGCGACCUCAUUAUGCCGCUACGGAAGACCGCUACAGAAAGCGCUUCAACUAUAGCGGUCUCUCUAACCCGCUACACACUCCCGCUACGGUACUUAGGCGCCUCAGCUCUAUCUUCUGUAGCGACCAUCUUUUGCCGCUACGCCUGGCCGCUAGGAAUGUCAUAUUGAUAUGUGUGUAGUAUUUUGAUCAUAAAUCCCUCAAUACAGCUCCAAACGACUUGAAACCACCUCCAUUGUAAAGCUAACUCAAUUUCCAGUGUCUCCACAAAUUUUGAGCUUCAGAAGAGAUCUUUAAGGCCUUCAUCCGUGUUCAUCUUUCACUCUUUGGACUCAAAAUCCCUCCAAUGGUCUUCUAACUCAUCCAUGGUGCUCUCCAACACCUGAUAUGUACAAAUGCAAUGAUAUGCAACCUAAAUGUGCCUAAAUGAUACUCUAGAUGACCAAACCAUGCAAGAAUAAGAAGUUAAAAACACGUAAAUUCACAAGAUAUCAUUUUCACGUGAAUCAAAUGCUAAAGGUUUAUUCCUGAAGGUGAUAAGAUUUUUUAUUCAUUAUUAGAUGCGAGUGUGAAUUGUGCUUAUUCGCCACUCAACCAAAUUUAAAAUACGAGAGAAAUCACAUAAAUGUUGAUUUUGUAAAACAUAAACGUUGAUUUGUAAAACUAUAAUAAAACCAAAUCAAAACGAAACUACUACGUACCGAAUUAAAGGUCGCUGAAACAAGUUUUGAACUUUUUAUCAACCAAAAACAACACGUGUUUUCAAUAAUUACCAAUUAUUCAAGCGUGAAGGUUAACACCAUAAUCAACGAGGAUAUAAAUCAGUGACCAGACGCAUCACCAACAGACCAUAUACCAGACUUGGCCAUCGUAGAUUGAUUCGAAUCAGGCAGAUCUUUUUUCGGUCUAGUCUGAGUGACAAACCCUGGUUGUUGAGGCACUGGUAAAAUCACAUUGUUACUUAUGAGCAUCAUCAAAAUGGUUGAAAAGGUGGGACGCUCUAUAGGAUCUUCUUGAACACAUAAAAGACCGAUAUGGAUGCAUCGAACCACUUCCCUCAUUUGGCAAUUAUCUACUAUAACUG